RNAcentral lists this ribosomal RNA (1671 nucleotides) under Fomitopsis pinicola. Its description in RNAcentral is "ribosomal RNA small subunit". It matches the Rfam family "Bacterial small subunit ribosomal RNA". Lineage: Eukaryota; Fungi; Basidiomycota; Agaricomycetes; Polyporales; Fomitopsidaceae. The record is from RNAcentral.
AUAAGAAAGAACUUAAUUUUGGUUCUGAUUUAACGUUAUUCAGUAGUCUUAAGACAUGCAAAUCGUUAUUUUCGAAAUUUUUAUUUUAUUAGUAAAAUAAAAUUAGAAAAUAAGGUGUAAAGGUGAGUUAUAUAAAUAAGAUAGCCUAUAGUCUUCAUAAAUAGGAGAUAGUACUCUUCUAUUCUUUUUUUUUUGUCUUUAUUUUAUAUUAUAAAAUAAAGAAUAAGAAAGUAGAAGAAUAUUAAAGGAUUUUAUCUGCUAUAGGAUUCUAUUUAUUUUGAUUAGGUAGUUGGUAGGGUAAUAGCCUAACCAAGCCGACAAUCGAAAGCUAUGUUUGAUAGAACCUCUAGCCACAUUGGGAAUGAAAUCUCCCAAAUAGUUACCUUUUUAUUUUUUCUUUUUUGUCUAAAAAGAAUAAAAAUACAAAGCACUAUCAGCAGUCAAGAAUCUUAGUCAAUGCUCGCAAGAGUGAACUAGCUAACUGAAAUCACUAAUUGAUCUUAUCAAUGUGAUAUAGUAAGGGAAAACAAAUGAUAUUACUUUACUUAUAGUGUUGUCUAAUUCUGGUGCCAGAAGACUCGGUAAUACCAGUAACGCGAACGUUAGUCAUCUUUAUCAGGCGUAAAGGGUUUGUAGGCAGCUUUUAAAAAAAAUUCUUAACUAUAUUGUCCUUUUUUAUUCUUUAAAAAAGGAAUAAAUAGUGAAGUCUCUAAUUUGAGAGCUAGAAUCAAAUAGAAGUUAAAAAGUAUAAUACUUAGAGAAGGGUUGAUAUUCUUAGAACCUAAGGGGAAUACUAAAGGUGUAAACAACUAACUAUAAAUGAUUGACGCUGAGACACGAAGGUGAGGAUAGGAAAUAGGAUUAGAUACCCCGGUACCCCUCUCUGUAAACGAUGAAUGGUAGUUAUUAGUGUAUUACUGGUAACGAAGCUAACGCGUUAACCAUUCCGCCUUGGGAGUACGAUUGCAAAGUUGAAAACAAAAAAAUUAGUCGGUCUCGGAGCAAACGGAGUGAAGCAUGUUAUUUAAUACGAUAAUCCGCGUAAAACCUUACCAGUUCUUGUAUAACAAAUUCUAUCUUGUUUUUAUUUUAAAAUAAAAUAGAAUGAAUGUUUUUAAUUUAAAAAAACAUUUAGUUACAGGUGCUGCAUGGCUGUCGUCAGUCCGUAUCGUGAGAAGUUUGGUUAAAUCCUCUAACGGACGAAAUCCCUGUUGUUAAUUUAUUCUUAACAAUUAAUGAUGCUAAAAAAGCACCAUUUGGGGCUAAGACAAGUCGUUAUGGCCCUAAUGAACUGGGCUACAAACGUGCCACAAAAACUUUUACAAUGUGAUGCAAUACUUAGCAAAAAUAGGUGGAGCUAAUCAAUAAAGAAAGUUUAUAACAAAACUGUAAUGAAUUGUCAUCUGCAAUUCGGUGACAUGAAAAAGGAAUUUCGAGUAAUCGUUGAUCACUAGCGCAACGGUGAAGCUUUGAUCCGUGAUGAACUAACUGUCCGUCGCUGGGAAGGAGCUUAAGUUGAGGGAAACUGUGGAUAAAUUGAGGUUUUAUAUGGAAGGGUUUUAUAUUAACCGCCAUAUUAAGUCAAUUGACUUCAGUUAACUUUCUUAGGUAACAUCCCAAAAGUCGUAGCAAGGUAGCUGUACUGGAAAGUGCAGCUGAAUAAUAAGAUAU